Molecule: ribosomal RNA, 403 nt
Filed under: bacterium
Lineage: Bacteria
Description: partial 16S ribosomal RNA
Rfam family: Bacterial small subunit ribosomal RNA
Source: RNAcentral
UGGGGAAUAUUGCACAAUGGAGGGAACUCUGAUGCAGCGACGCCGCGUGAACGAAGAAGGCUUUCGAGUCGUAAAGUUCUUUUAUAUGGGAAGAUAAUGACGGUACCAUAAGAAAAAGCCCCGGCUAACUACGUGCCAGCAGCCGCGGUAAUACGUAGGGGGCUAGCGUUGUCCGGAAUCACUGGGCGUAAAGGGUUCGCAGGCGGAAAUGCAAGUCAGGUGUAAAAGGCAGUAGCUUAACUACUGUAAGCAUUUGAAACUGAAUAGCUUGAGAAGAGUAGAGGUAAGUGGAAUUUUUAGUGUAGCGGUGAAAUGCGUAGAUAUUAAAAAGAAUACCGGUGGCGAAGGCGACUUACUGGGCUCAUUCUGACGCUGAGGAACGAAAGCGUGGGUAGCAAACAGG